GACGUAGGGCGCGAGCGUUGUCCGGAUUUAUUGGGCGUAAAGAGCUCGUAGGCGGUUUGUCGCGUCUGCUGUGAAAACUCGGGGCUUAACCCCGGGCCUGCAGUGGGUACGGGCAGACUAGAGUGCGGUAGGGGAGAUUGGAAUUCCUGGUGUAGCGGUGGAAUGCGCAGAUACCAGGAGGAACACCAGUGGCGAAGGCGGCUUACUGGUCCGGUACUGACGCUGAGGUGCGAAAGCGUGGGGAGCAAACAGG
This 253-nucleotide ribosomal RNA is filed under the name uncultured bacterium. RNAcentral describes it as "partial 16S ribosomal RNA". It matches the Rfam family "Bacterial small subunit ribosomal RNA", at positions 524 to 776 of the family's 1533-position model. The record is from RNAcentral.